This 253-nucleotide ribosomal RNA is filed under the name uncultured bacterium. Its description in RNAcentral is "partial 16S ribosomal RNA". It matches the Rfam family "Bacterial small subunit ribosomal RNA", at positions 524 to 776 of the family's 1533-position model. The record is from RNAcentral.
UACGUAGGGUGCGAGCGUUAAUCGGAAUUACUGGGCGUAAAGCGUGCGCAGGCGGUUUUGUAAGACAGAUGUGAAAUCCCCGGGCUCAACCUGGGAACUGCAUUUGUGACUGCAUCGCUGGAGUGCGGCAGAGGGGGAUGGAAUUCCGCGUGUAGCAGUGAAAUGCGUAGAUAUGCGGAGGAACACCGAUGGCGAAGGCAAUCCCCUGGACCUGCACUGACGCUCAUGCACGAAAGCGUGGGGAGCAAACGGG